UACGGAGGGUGCGAGCGUUGUCCGGAAUCACUGGGCGUAAAGGGCGCGUAGACGGCUUCUCAAGCGUGUGGUGAAAGUCCGGGGCUCAACCCCGGAUCGGCCGUGCGGACUGGGGAGCUCGAGUUCUGUAGAGGCGGGUGGAAUUCCGGGUGUAGCGGUGGAAUGCGUAGAGAUCCGGAAGAACACCGGUGGCGAAGGCGGGUCUCUGGACAGUUCCUGACGCUCAGGCACGAAAGCCAGGGGAGCAAACGGG
This 253-nucleotide ribosomal RNA is filed under the name uncultured bacterium. RNAcentral's name for it is "partial 16S ribosomal RNA". It matches the Rfam family "Bacterial small subunit ribosomal RNA", at positions 524 to 776 of the family's 1533-position model. The record is from RNAcentral.